Molecule: long non-coding RNA, 1214 nt
Organism: Oncorhynchus tshawytscha (Chinook salmon)
Lineage: Eukaryota; Metazoa; Chordata; Actinopteri; Salmoniformes; Salmonidae
Source: Ensembl
AUAGAUGAUCUUUUAUGUAAAGCAGUAUGUUGGGUCUUUCAGCUUUUGUGGUUCUGGUCAAAAGUAGUGCACUGUGGCGCAGCGGUCUAAAGCACUGCAUCUCAGUGCAAGAGGCAGUCCCUGGUUCGGUCCCUGGUUCGAAUCAAGGCUUUAUCACAUCCGGCUGUGAUUGGGAGUCCCAUAGGGCAGCACACAAUUGGCCAGCGUCGUCUGGGUUUGGCCGAGGUAGGCCGUCAUUGUAAAUCUGAAUUUGUUCUUAACUGACAUGCCUAGUUAAAUAAAGGUUAAAUAAAAAACAUAGGGAGACACUGUGGUCUGUGGUUCUCAUAGGUGUCAUAAAAUAUCAUAUCAGUUGUGAUUCCCCUUGGGGAACUGAGAAAAUAACAAUUAAAACAAACACACAGAAACCUGCAGAGCGACUUCACACAUUCACCACAAAACUCUCUAAACACAAGUCAGGAAAACAGCACACCCAUCUAUUACCACAGACUGUCACGUUUUAUAUGCAAAUACACUGAUCAACUCUUUUCCAUAACUUUUAACACCUUUAUACAUCACACCGUUUCUGUUCCUCCAUAGUUUCCCACUCCUGUUCUCUGAUGGUUAUGACAGGGCAUGGCAGGUUGAAGAAGCCAAAUGGAUUUAUUGUCAAUGUUCUGCAGAGUAAUGAACAGGCAAUUACUGCUUUAUGAACCAACCUUCAGAAUUUGGCAGAUGUGAAAUAUAGAUCAGUUUUUUUCUGUUUGUAGGUUUUUGUUAAUUGGUUUUGCAUCACAGCUUUAUGUUUGUCAGUCAUUGGUUUCUCAAUAAUGGUUGAACUUUUAUGUAAAGCAGUAUGUUUGGUCUUUCGGUUUUUGUGGUAUGUGGUCUUAUUUCAGCCUUUACUACAAAGUCAAUGGGGUGUCAGCUUUUUUCAAACAGAAACUACUUAAACAUCAUUAUUGUAAAUCACAAGACAGAGUGGGGUAUGUUUAGAUAAGACUGCGUUUGUAUGGGGGAAAAUAAAUGUGAAAAAUAAUACUUGUAAUGUACAAUUUAUCCUGCAUCAUCAUAUACUAUAUCACUGGGAAUCACUACACAGACACCAUUGUUUUUGUUAACAAUGAUGGAAUGCCAACGAUGGUUUGAUGUUUGAAACUUCUGACGUUGAAUGUUGUUUCCUUUUUUUAACAAAUAUAAUAAAUGAAAUAAAUUGUCUGAACACAUUAAAUAAA